CUACGGGUGGCUGCAGUGGGGAAUAUUGCACAAUGGACGAAAGUCUGAUGCAGCAACGCCGCGUGGAGGAUGACACAUUUCGGUGCGUAAACUCCUUUUAUAUAAGAAGAUAAUGACGGUAUUAUAUGAAUAAGCACCGGCUAACUCCGUGCCAGCAGCCGCGGUAAUACGGAGGGUGCAAGCGUUACUCGGAAUCACUGGGCGUAAAGAGCGUGUAGGCGGAUAGAUAAGUUGGAAGUGAAAUCCUAUGGCUCAACCAUAGAACUGCUUCCAAAACUGUCUAUCUAGAAUAUGGGAGAGGUAGAUGGAAUUUCUGGUGUAGGGGUAAAAUCCGUAGAGAUCAGAAGGAAUACCGAUUGCGAAGGCGAUCUACUGGAACAUUAUUGACGCUGAGACGCGAAAGCGUGGGGAGCAAACAGGAUUAGAUACCCGCGUAGUC
This 439-nucleotide ribosomal RNA is filed under the name uncultured bacterium. RNAcentral's name for it is "partial 16S ribosomal RNA". It matches the Rfam family "Bacterial small subunit ribosomal RNA", at positions 339 to 795 of the family's 1533-position model. The record is from RNAcentral.